CGUAUCUGAAUCAAUUCGGAUUCGGAUGUGAAUAAAAAUUUAAAAAUCCUACUAAUAUCCGUAUUCGUAUCUAUAUUCGUAAAAAAAAUAAAUAUGAAUAUGAAUAGACAACUAUCCGAUCUGCAUUUAAAUAUCCGAAUCUAUAUAUAACUCUAUAUAAUUUUAUAUAAUAUUAUUAUUUUUUAAAAUAUAUAUAUAACCAUAUAAUCAUAUUAUUAACUUGAUUUAUCAUCUAUUUAGUAUUAUCUUUAAUUUUUUAGUCAUAAAAUUUAAUUAUCUAAGUAAUAUCUA
RNAcentral lists this long non-coding RNA (291 nucleotides) under Elaeis guineensis (African oil palm). RNAcentral describes it as "long non-coding RNA (EGUI_LNC018512)". Lineage: Eukaryota; Viridiplantae; Streptophyta; Magnoliopsida; Arecales; Arecaceae. The record is from RNAcentral.